AUUAUUGUGCAUUACCACAGAUUGGGACGUCACAGUUGAUGGGUUCCAUCCAGCUGGGGAUCCAACAAGCAGUGGGAAGCUUGGCGAGUAAACCUGAGCUAGAUGUUUUAAUUCAAGACUUUUAUGUUGUAGAAACUAUAUUCUUUCCUAAUACUGGUUCUCAAUCAACGCCGGCACAUCAGUAUUUGGAUUUCAGAUUCAAGGUUUAUGCCCCCAUAGCAUUUAGACACUUUAGAGAUCUGUUUAGAAUUCAACCAGAGGACUAUCUUGUAUCGUUAUGUACGGAACCUCUCCGAGAACUUAGUAAUCCCGGGGCUAGCGGCAGCAUCUUUUACCUCACAAAUGAUGAUGAGUUCAUCAUCAAGACUGUGCAGCACAAGGAAGCAGAGUUCCUCCAGAAGUUGUUGCCAGGAUAUUAUAUGAAUCUGAACCAAAAUCCUAGAACGUUAUUACCAAAGUUUUUCGGCUUGUAUAAUUAUCAGUGUAAUGCCAAGAAUAUUAGGUUAAUAACUAUGAACAAUUUGCUUCCGUCAUCAAUAAAGAUGCACCAAAGAUAUGAUCUAAAGGGAUCCACGUACAAGAGAAAGGCUAGUAAGUAUGAGCGUAGUAAAGAGUCGGCCACUUUUAAAGAUCUAGAUUUUAUGGAGCAUCAUCCUGACGGCAUCCUUUUAGAAGCUGAAACAUACAAGGCUCUCAUUAACACCAUUGCCAGGGACUGUAGGGUAUUAACAUCAUUCAAGAUCAUGGAUUACUCCUUGUUAGUGGGCAUUCACAAUCUUGACCUGGCAGCCAAGAAAAAAGCACAAGAGAAGGAGAGAAGGUUAAAUGGUGGUGAUGGAGGUGUUGCGGAAGAUGGAAAUGGAGAAGGUGCAGAAGGGUCAAGUCUAACUCGCUCCCGCUCUAUCAACCGACAUAAACUAGUGGCUCACUCAACAGCCAUGGAAUCUAUACAAGCAGAUUCUGAUCCCAUAGAUGAAGAAGAUCAAGUUCCGCCUGGUGGUAUUCCUGCAAGAAAUGCCAAAGGAGAACGUUUAUUACUCUUCUUAGGCAUCAUUGAUAUUCUUCAAAGUUUUCGAUUAAAGAAAAAACUUGAACACACUUUCAAGUCAAUGAUCCAUGAUGGGGAUACUAUAUCAGUUCAUCGACCUACCUUCUAUGCUCAGAGGUUCCUAAAAUUUAUGGAAAACACAGUCUUCAAGAGAAUUCCAUCACUGGACCUUCCAGAAAUCAAAGGCGGCCACCGCAAAUUCCGAAAUCUGGUCUCCAGCUACAUAGCUUUGAGACAUUCGCCAUCGCGGCGGAGAGGUGCAUCCCUGCGUAUAUUACGGCCUAUGUCCCAGGUAGACUCUGAGCAUACAGCUGAAGGGCAUGACAGUCAAGAAGGAUCAUCUGUUCGCUGUAAAAGAAGUGCAAGCGUUCGAAGCCGAAGGUCUGGUGGAAGAUUGCCAGGUGGCAAUGUUAGUGCUGAGGACCGGCCGGGUGAGAGUGGUGAGGUCGCUAUCUCCUUAUCCAUGGCUACAGGAGGUUCGGGGGCCACCACCACUACCACCACCACCCUCUCAUCAGCAGUGGCUGGAGCAAUCGCAACUGGUGGUGUAUCAGGAACAGCACUAGGGGGAGCCUCCACUGCUGCCUCUGGUAUAGGAUCAGGAGCACCUUCCACACCAGUCAAUCUUCCAGCUGUACUUCAAGACCGACCUCACUCUGGUCGUGGUCGUGUGCCGCCUCCAGUUCCUCCGCGCUCGCCUCGAGGUGGAGCAACUCAGACCACCUCUGCGUCAUCUUCAUUCUCAACUGCUAGAGGUAGUGGCCGAGGUGUAGUUACUGUGAGUGGAGGAGGGAGUUCAAGUCAUCCACCUUUAAGCUCUACUCCUCCACCUCCAUGGGAUGCUGCAUCUGGGGCAUCUGGUAGCACAGUGGUCAGCACUUCAUCUCCACGGGUCCAAGUGAGAUCGUCACAGACACAUGUCACCACUGUUGCAAUCCAAGAGGAUAGAACUGAUGUUGUGAGAAAGGGUCAAAAGUUGCGCUUUAAGGGCCUUGCUGAGGAACCCCAAAGUGUCAGAGAACCUGUGCUUGUUAGCUAUAAGGAGAUAAAAUCCACCGCUGUAAGCGUGAGUGACGUGCACCUGGAGCCUCGGACAGACUCGCGAUCAACGCUGAGUGUGGACUCUAGCGUGGGGUCAACACCAAUGGUCCGUACCCUCACCUGGACUCCCCCACUCUCUGUAGAGGGUAGUACCCCUACCUGGACCGAGGGAACCCCCAGCUUUACCGAGUCCUCCUCUAGUGGAGAUUUAGAGGACUUCGACGAGCCAUAGGAAUAGACAAGAUUGUCACAAGUCCGUUUUGCUGAUGAGGCACCAGCAAAAUGGGCAGAAAAACCCCGGCACGCAGCACUCGAGACACUGAUGCCUCAGAUUACCAGAUAGGUGGGGGAUGAAUGCAGCUCACGAAAGUUACAUCAAAUGUCCAUCUACACAUACCCUGUAACUACUAUAAGAGGUGUCCCACUACUCCAGUUCACAGUCUUAACACUACCCAAGAGUCCACUGACAACAUCAUCUUCCAUGAGACAGAGAUGACCCACCUGUAGUAUCCUGAGGAAUCACUACAACUGCUGUUUGUGUAGUGUAUCUUUGGAGAACCAGCCACCUCAGCCCAGAUGACAGCAUUUAUGCAGAGAAGAAACUAUUUCUAUUGCUAUAAAAUAUAGUCCACCAAUUCCAAUAUCAGCCUACAUACUCUGUGAUGAAUGUCUUAAAUAAUAGUCAUUUUAAUUAUUGUCACAUACAAGUGGUAUUAGAUUUAAGCUUCUUCACACAAGUGAUUUUCAUUGAAUUUCAUCCACUGAAAUCUACAGGUAUAAUUUUUCAUUCUGUUUAUACUUCAUCCACUGAGUAAUAAAUUAUAUUACUGUAACCUUGAAUAGGUUAUAUUUCACUCAAAGCAUUGAUGCAUUGCUCAUUGAUCUCUGUACAUACUUAUACAGUAUACUCUAAUAUAGCAGAACUUUGUAAGAUGCUCAAAUAUCAGGUAUUUAUACCUUUGAUUUUUAUGAAGCCUUAUGAAGACAUGGCACAAGAUAUUCAUAUAUUUUUGCUUGAUAUGUCAUUAAAGGUUUUAGUGAUAUAAUUACAGUAUUAUGCUCAGUACAGUAUGACAAGUUUGUGAGAUAUUGAUUUUUUUUAAAUUUUUAGAGCUUUGGCUACUGGUACUGAGAGUUUGACAUGCAUUAUUUCAAAUGUAAUGUGUUAAUUUCAUAUUUUGCCUGUCUUGAUUGAUCAACUGAUAAUUUCCUACACCAUUGGCAACCCUCUUCUGGGAAAGUCCCAGCAUCAGUGAAGUCUGUAUGACUUCUUACCUGAAACUGACUUAUUAUACCAACUUUGACUUCCCACUAUAACACCUAUGCCCACCCUUCACAAUCAGAAAAUAUAUAUUUAAAGGUUGCAUAUUUUUUGUUGUGAAAAUUAUAUGCUAGGUCUUGUAAAUUCAGGAUCCUUUUCUUUUUAUUUUUUUUUUAUUAUCACACUGGCCGAUUCCCACCAAGGCAGGGUGGCCCGAAAAAGAAAAACUUUCACCAUCAUUCACUCCAUCACUGUCUUGCCAGAAGGGUGCUUUACACUACAGUUUUUAAACUGCAACAUUAACACCCGUCCUUCAGAGUGCAGACACUGUACUUCCCAUCUCCAGGACUCAAGUCCGGCCUGCCGGUUUCCCUGAACCCCUUCAUAAAUGUUACUUGCUCACACUCCAACAGCACGUCAAGUAUUAAAAACCAUUUGUCUCCAUUCACUCCUAUCAAACACGCUCACGCAUGCCUGCUGGAAGUCCAAGCCCCUCGCACACAAAACCUCCUUUACCCCCUCUCUCCAACCUUUCCUAGGCCGACCCCUACCCCGCCUUCCUUCCACUACAGACUGAUACACUCUUGAAGUCAUUCUGUUUCGCUCCAUUCUCUCUACAUGUCCGAACCACCUCAACAACCCUUCCUCAGUCCUCUGGACAACAGUUUUGGUAAUCCUGCACCUCCUCCUAACUUCCAAACUACGAAUUCUCUGCAUUAUAUUCACACCACACAUUGCCCUCAGACAUGACAUCUCCACUGCCUCCAGCCUUCUCCUCGCUGCAACAUUCAUCACCCACGCUUCACACCCAUAUAAGAGCGUUGGUAAAACUAUACUCUCAUACAUUCCCCUCUUUGCCUCCAAGGACAAAGUUCUUUGUCUCCACAGACUCCUAAGUGCACCACUCACUCUUUUCCCCCCAUCAAUUCUAUGAUUCACCUCAUCUUUCAUAGACCCAUCCGCUGACACGUCCACUCCCAAAUAUCUGAAUACAUUCACCUCCUCCAUACUCUCUCCCUCCAAUCUGAUAUUCAAUCUUUCAUCACCUAAUCUUUUUGUUAUCCUCAUAACCUUACUCUUUCCUGUAUUCACCUUUAAUUUUCUUCUUUUGCACAUCCUUCCAAAUUCAUCCACCAAUCUCUGCAACUUCUCUUCAGAAUCUCCCAAGAGCACAGUGUCAUCAGUAUUUAUUUGCUUAUGCAGUUUCAUAUCUACUUUCAAAAGAGUGGGAUAGAUGCAUCAGGCCUUAUACCAUAAUACAGAAGUGUUGUACUUCUCGAUUCAUGUAAUGUGUGUGUACUGAAUUAAGGUCUCCUUGAAGCUUUACUGCUUUUAUCUAUUCAUUCACUAUUCCCAUGUACUGGUAGUUUCUUUCUUCAACAUUAAGGCUCCUGUCAAGUUUUCAGGUACACUUCUUUAAAUUUUAUACAGUAUUUUAAAAUUGCAUGCUUUUGUUAAUGUUUAAAAUAAUGACUGCAUAUCAGGUUUGUGUACAAAAUUAAUAUGAUUUUAUCCACAUAAGUUUGUGUACAAAAGUUGUAUUGUUUUAUUUGUGUAAUGAAUAUUAUAACCAUUUAAGGAAAGGAACUGACCCAUAUCAUUUGAUCCAUAUCACAAUGUCCACUAUAUUUGUUGAUACAGUAUUAUUUAAUUAUAAACUGUUGAUAAAAAAUAAUGCUAUACUCCUAACAGUUCAUCCUCAGUAAAGUGUUGUCAGUUUUAUUAAGUAUACAUUUAAUAUUAACAUACUAAAUAUACACUGUUACUAUAUAAUAAUGGUGAUUUAGGUAUUUCUUUUCAUUCAGUAAUCCUCUUCAUAUGUCAAUACAGUACUGUAAAAUCCUUAACAUUGAUGAAUGAAAUUGGACAUUUGUAAGUAAUCUGCUAGUGAGAGCAAACAACUGAAUAACUGUACCGUUUUGUACUUUAAAUAUUUGUAGUAUAUGGAUUAAAUGGAAGCUAAAUUGACUUUAAAUAUAAAUGUAACAAUAUAAUUAGCAAAAAAGUGACUAUGACAUUGCAGGUUGAGUGUGGUGCGAAUGUGUGCAGAAAAUAUCUCACCACACAUGAGAUGUUGUCAUACAGUUUGCAUUAUUGCUUAUUGUUCUCUAUUUGUAAAUAAUAGACAGACUCUUUUUAUGAAAACAGUAAUGUAUAUAUGUAUUUGUUAGUAAUUUUGUUGUGAUUACUUCUAAGACACAUGCAUUGAAGUCUUAAUAUUACAGUAGUAGUUCAUGACAUGCAAUACUCAUAAUAUAUACUGUAGUUUAAAAAGUCAUGGAAACUGUUAAUUACUGUAAUGCUUGCCUCACAGGUAACCUUGUAUAUAAGCUUCUUGUCAAACUGUUACAUUUUAGUUUUGAAGAUUACUUUGUUAUUUAAGUCACAUUCUCUGGUCAAACUGAGUUUCAAGAAUAUUAACUCAGAACAAAUGUUGUGUUUCACCAUCCACAAGUUAGCUGGGGAAGUAUGAUAAAUCUUUCUUGACACAUUAUUUAUUCAAGUAAGCCAGCUACUCAGAGGUUUACCUAAGUGAAAAUUAUAAAGUUUCAGCUCUUAUUGUCUCCCAUUAUAUGUUAACUGCAGUAAGAAAUAACAUUGCUAACUUGUUUUUGAUGGUAGUCAUCAAUAGUAUAGCCCAUGGAGAGCAAUAUGACUGAAGGUUUCCACUCAGAAGUAUUUUAACCCUUUGACUGUUGCAACCCCAAAUCCUGAGGUGUCUCCUGGUGUCGCAAAAUAAUUGAAAAAAAAAAAAAACUUAUGAAAUGAUAGAGAAUCUUUUCCCGAUGGUAAUGACACCAAAAGUAUGAAAUUUGAUGGAAAACUUACGGAAUUACGCUCUUGCGAAGUUAGCACCUAUGCAACAUUUAAGCAUCAGCAGUUUCGCCCACUUUGAGCCCUAUUUUCAGUUAAUUCCACUGUUCCAGUCCACCAAACUCAUAGCUAUUUCUCUAGAACUUCAUUUGUUCUAUCGAUUGAAUACAAAAAACCACCCAUUUACCGAUUUCAGCUACCCAAUAAAGUGGACAGAAAUUGGCAGUUUGACCAAUUUCAUGCAAAUUAAAAAAUGUCAAUUUCAAAAUAGGGUCCAGAAUGAACAAUGCAGACAUUCUUGGCACUAAAAUAACAUUUUCUCUGUUAAUCAGUCACAUCUCCAGGCCCAUUAUAAUCCUCUUGCUUUCUAUUUUGAAUUUUUAUUCACACAAAAAAUAGAUUUACUGUCAUGCAGACUAUUGCAAUAUUGUAAUAAUUGUAUAAAAAGCAUCAACCCAUUUGUGACUGCAUAUUAGAAUGGCUAGUUGAACAUUUAUUGGACAAUGACAUCAUUUGUUUACUCUUGAACAUCGGCAAAAAUUGAACAUUUCUUCCUCUUUGAGCUCCAUUUCAAGAUCCUUUUCAUACUAAAACCAAUCAAAAUCACUUCUAUUUCUAUAAUAAUCUUUCCCUUCUAUCAAAUGAGACCAAGAAAACAAGAAUACAACCAUAAAUACUAUACGAGAAAACACCUCAAAGUCGGCUUUUUAAUCCAAAAACAUGGUCGGAGUUUUUUUUUCUCAUUGUGUACUUCGUGCUACAGGAUUAUUUUUAUACUGCACACACAGACCCAUUCUCUCACAUGUGGGCUUACCAGCUUUCUCCUGCUUGAUUUGAAGCCACUAGAAUUUUUGAGUACGUAUAUAUACAUCAAACACAUUGGCUCAUAAGACGUAUAUAUAUAUGACCAAAACAGUCAAAGGGUUAAUUCUCUUCAAUACAUUAAGUAAAAUGAAAAAUUAACAAAAAUUUAACACUAUUAACUGUUAAUUUUAAGAAAUUAUCAUAUUAAAGACCAAAUUAUAUUGAAAGAUUUAAAUAACUGUAUAAGGAGAUUUAAUAAAAAAUCAUAUUUAUUCUAAUCCUGUACCUGUGGAUUUA
Non-coding RNA from Cherax quadricarinatus, 7265 nucleotides. NCBI's taxonomy places the organism in Eukaryota, Metazoa, Arthropoda, Malacostraca, Decapoda, Parastacidae. The record is from RefSeq and is a predicted model, not a curated record.